GAUGAACGCUGGCGGCGUGCUUAACACAUGCAAGUCGAACGAUGAAGCCCAGCUUGCUGGGUGAUUAGUGGCGAACGGGUGAGUAACACGUGAGUAACCUGCCCUUAACUCUGGGAUAAGCCUGGGAAACUGGGUCUAAUACCGGAUAGGAGCGUCCACCGCAUGGUGGGUGUUGGAAAGAUUUAUCGGUUUUGGAUGGACUCGCGGCCUAUCAGCUUGUUGGUGGGGUAAUGGCUCACCAAGGCGACGACGGGUAGCCGGCCUGAGAGGGUGACCGGCCACACUGGGACUGAGACACGGCCCAGACUCCUACGGGAGGCAGCAGUGGGGAAUAUUGCACAAUGGGCGCAAGCCUGAUGCAGCGACGCCGCGUGAGGGAUGACGGCCUUCGGGUUGUAAACCUCUUUCAGUAGGGAAGAAGCGAAAGUGACGGUACCUGCAGAAGAAGCACCGGCUAACUACGUG
RNAcentral lists this ribosomal RNA (465 nucleotides) under uncultured bacterium. RNAcentral describes it as "partial 16S ribosomal RNA". It matches the Rfam family "Bacterial small subunit ribosomal RNA", at positions 28 to 507 of the family's 1533-position model. The record is from RNAcentral.